RNAcentral lists this ribosomal RNA (427 nucleotides) under uncultured bacterium. RNAcentral's name for it is "partial 16S ribosomal RNA". It matches the Rfam family "Bacterial small subunit ribosomal RNA", at positions 354 to 796 of the family's 1533-position model. The record is from RNAcentral.
GUGGGGAAUAUUGGGCAAUGGGGGAAACCCUGACCCAGCAACACCGCGUGAAGGAAGAAGGCUUUCGGGUUGUAAACUUCUUUUAUGAGGGACGAAGAAGUGACGGUACCUCAUGAAUAAGCCACGGCUAACUACGUGCCAGCAGCCGCGGUAAUACGUAGGUGGCAAGCGUUGUCCGGAUUUACUGGGUGUAAAGGGCGCGUAGGCGGGAUAGCAAGUCAGGUGUGAAAUCCGGGGGCUUAACCCUCGAACUGCACUUGAAACUGUUAUUCUUGAGUGAUGGAGAGGCAAGCGGAAUUCCUAGUGUAGCGGUGAAAUGCGUAGAUAUUAGGAGGAACACCAGUGGCGAAGGCGGCUUGCUGGACAUUAACUGACGCUGAGGCGCGAAAGCGUGGGGAGCAAACAGGAUUAGAAACCCGGGUAGUCC